This is a small nuclear RNA of 145 nucleotides. Its record names the gene U2. It matches the Rfam family "U2 spliceosomal RNA". From Rfam's summary of the family: U2 is a small nuclear RNA (snRNA) component of the spliceosome (involved in pre-mRNA splicing). Complementary binding between U2 snRNA (in an area lying towards the 5' end but 3' to hairpin I) and the branchpoint sequence (BPS) of the intron results the bulging out of an unpaired adenosine, on the BPS, which initiates a nucleophilic attack at the intronic 5' splice site, thus starting the first of two transesterification reactions that mediate splicing. The record is from Ensembl.
AUCGCUUCUCGGCCUUUUGGCUAAGAUCAAGUGUAGUAUCUGUUCUUAUCAGCUUAAAUAAUCAGGAUGGAAAUUCAAUUCUUCUUAUUCUCAGUUGAGCUUUUUCUAAUUAAAUGCAUUACGAAAUAUUUUCAAGAGUCCCUUA